This 736-nucleotide long non-coding RNA is filed under the name Coffea arabica (coffee). Its description in RNAcentral is "long non-coding RNA (CARA_LNC003197)". The record is from RNAcentral. Lineage: Eukaryota; Viridiplantae; Streptophyta; Magnoliopsida; Gentianales; Rubiaceae.
GUUAUUUUUUUUUUUUUUUUAACAUGGGAAAUGGGUGAUUAUAACUUUUUAGUUUAAAUACUCUAUUAAUCCAUGUAUAAGAAAAUUAUGUCACGAGUUUUUGUCUCCCGUACCCUUUAUGUUGCAUUCCCUUUUCCUUUGAUCAUUUAUAUAUGUAUAUAAUUUAAUUUCUUUUCUCUUCUUUUCUUUUAAUUUCAUCAUUUGCAUAUUCGUGACACUUUCAAGGAGUUAUUUUGGCUUUCGCAAUUAAUGCGGUUGGUUCAAUCAAACCCUUGAAUGAACAUUUUGUCCCUUUCAAUGUUUUUAUAAAUUUAGAUUUGCAUCCAUGUAGGAAACAUCCAAAUAUGAUAAAAUUAAGGGUUAGAUUAGGAAAAUUUUGACUAAACCUCGCAACUAGCUUAGAUUAGGUUGAAAGGGUGCCUUAGGUUUGAGUCAAUUGAACCUUUGCCUUCCCUUUCUUCAACCGUGACUCCCGAACCCAUUUCUCUUGUUUUCAAAGACCUGGAGUUGUCAAAAAGGGUUUUGAUUUAUUUUAUUUCUGUCAAAAAUAUUUUUCGGGUGACUUGGUACACCAAAACUCGAUACCAAGUGGUGACUCCUAUUUUUUCUAAAAAACCCUUUUUAGACUAAAUUUUUGGACCCAAAUUGUCGCAUUUUUUAAAGUCCCAUUUUAGGUCCCUUUUAACUUGUUUUAAAAUAAAAUCACAUCUUUUCUAAACCACCUUUAUCUUUCUUU